Molecule: ribosomal RNA, 253 nt
Filed under: uncultured bacterium
Lineage: Bacteria
Description: partial 16S ribosomal RNA
Rfam family: Bacterial small subunit ribosomal RNA
Source: RNAcentral
UACGUAGGGGGCGAGCGUUGUCCGAAUUCACUGGGCGUAAAGCGCGCGUAGGCGGACUUUUAAGUUGGGGGCGAAAUGCCGAGGCUCAACCUCGGAACUGCCUCCAAAACUGGGAGUCUUGAGGUAUGGAGAGGGAAGUGGAAUUCCAGGUGUAGCGGUGAUAUGCGUAGAUAUCUGGAGGAACACCCGUGGCGAAGGCGGCUUCCUGGUCAUAUCCUGACGCUGAGGUGCGAAAGCCAGGGGAGCGAACGGG